UACGGAGGGCGCAAACGUUAAUCGGAAUUACUGGGCGUAAAGCGCGCGUAGGUGGCUCGAUAAGUGGGAUGUGAAAGCCCUGGGCUCAACCUGGGAACUGCAUUCCAAACUGUCGGGCUAGAGUAUGGUAGAGGGAGGUAGAAUUUCCUGUGUAGCGGUGAAAUGCGUAGAUAUAGGAAGGAAUACCAGUGGCGAAGGCGGCCUCCUGGACCAAUACUGACGCUGAGGCGCGAUAGCGUGGGGAGCAAACAGG
This 253-nucleotide unclassified non-coding RNA is filed under the name uncultured Gammaproteobacteria bacterium. RNAcentral's name for it is "contains 16S-23S intergenic spacer region". It matches the Rfam family "Bacterial small subunit ribosomal RNA", at positions 524 to 776 of the family's 1533-position model. Lineage: Bacteria; Pseudomonadati; Pseudomonadota; Gammaproteobacteria. The record is from RNAcentral.